CGCCGUGCCACCAUGUCUACGAGCGGGUCUCCCGACUACGAGAGACCAGCUAUGUGCACAUAAGGACGAGAUAAGGAGUUCUAACGUGCAAACUUACAACAAACAGGCAAAAAUGAUUUCGUCUGUGCUGUGAGCUUGAGGGCUACUUGCGGGGAAUUACUUCGCAUUGCUUUAUGGUCAGCACGGUGUGAACGUUUCUUCGAACAAAG
This 209-nucleotide long non-coding RNA is filed under the name Dermacentor andersoni. RNAcentral's name for it is "uncharacterized LOC126530952". The record is from RNAcentral. Lineage: Eukaryota; Metazoa; Arthropoda; Arachnida; Ixodida; Ixodidae.